This 450-nucleotide ribosomal RNA is filed under the name uncultured bacterium. RNAcentral describes it as "bacterial SSU rRNA". It matches the Rfam family "Bacterial small subunit ribosomal RNA", at positions 355 to 825 of the family's 1533-position model. The record is from RNAcentral.
UCAAGAAACUUCCACAAUGGGCGAAAGCCUGAUGGAGCGACGUCGCGUGAUGGACGAAGUGCUUCGGCACGUAAACAUCUUUUAUGUGGGAUGAAAUUAUUGACAGUACCACAUGAAUAAGGGGCUCCUAACUCUGUGCCAGCAGGAGCGGUAAUACAGAGGCCCCAAGCGUUAUCCGGAAUCACUGGGCGUAAAGGGUGUCGAGGCGGUUGUAUUAGUCGUUCGUAAAAUCUACGAGCUUAACUUGUAGGCGGCGAACGAAACGGUACGACUUGAGGUUUGGAGAGGUGCGUGGAACUCACGGUGUAGGGGUGAAAUCCGUUGAUAUCGUGGGGAACACCAAAGGCGAAGGCAGCGCACUGGCCAAAAUCUGACGCUCACACACGACAGCUAGGGUAGCGAAGAGGAUUAGAUACCCGUGUAGUCCCUGAGCGGGCUGGCAAGGCGCAU